GACGAACGCUGGCGGCGUGCCUAAUACAUGCAAGUCGAACGCAUUUUCUUUCACCGUAGCUUGCUACACCGAAAGAAAAUGAGUGGCGAACGGGUGAGUAACACGUGGGUAACCUGCCCAUCAGCGGGGGGUAACACUUGGAAACAGGUGCUAAUACCGCAUAAUUCCAUUUACUGCAUGGUAGAUGGAUGAAAGGCGCUUUUGCGUCACUGAUGGAUGGACCCGCGGUGCAUUAGCUAGUUGGUGGGGUAACGGCCUACCAAGGCUGCGAUGCAUAGCCGACCUGAGAGGGUGAUCGGCCACCCUGGGACUGAGACACGGCCCAGACUCCUACGGGAGGCAGCAGUAGGGAAUCUUCGGCAAUGGACGCAAGUCUGACCGAGCAACGCCGCGUGAGUGAAGAAGGUUUUCGGAUCGUAAAACUCUGUUGUUAGAAAAGAACAAGGAUGAGAGUGGAAAGUUCAUCCCUUGACGGUAUCUAACCAGAAAGCCACGGCUAACUACGUG
Molecule: ribosomal RNA, 507 nt
Filed under: uncultured bacterium
Lineage: Bacteria
Description: partial 16S ribosomal RNA
Rfam family: Bacterial small subunit ribosomal RNA
Source: RNAcentral